Molecule: ribosomal RNA, 370 nt
Filed under: uncultured bacterium
Lineage: Bacteria
Description: bacterial SSU rRNA
Rfam family: Bacterial small subunit ribosomal RNA
Source: RNAcentral
GUAGUCCACGCUGUAAACGAUGGAUACUAGCUGUUUGGCGCAAGCUGAGUGGCUAAGCGAAAGUGAUAAGUAUCCCACCUGGGGAGUACGCACGCAAGUGUGAAACUCAAAGGAAUUGACGGGGGCCCGCACAAGCGGUGGAGCAUGUGGUUUAAUUCGAUGAUACGCGAGGAACCUUACCAAGGUUUAAAUGGGGACUGACAGGUGUAGAGAUACGCCCUUCUUCGGACAGUUUUCAAGGUGCUGCAUGGUUGUCGUCAGCUCGUGCCGUGAGGUGUCAGGUUAAGUCCUAUAACGAGCGCAACCCCUAUUGUUAGUUACCAGCACGUAAAGGUGGGGACUCUAGCAAGACUGCCGGUGUAAACCGUGA